RNAcentral lists this ribosomal RNA (393 nucleotides) under uncultured bacterium. RNAcentral describes it as "bacterial SSU rRNA". It matches the Rfam family "Bacterial small subunit ribosomal RNA", at positions 29 to 413 of the family's 1533-position model. The record is from RNAcentral.
AACGAACGCUGGCGGCGCGCCUAAUACAUGCAAGUCGAGCGAGAAGACGUAGCAAUACGUUUGUAAAGCGGCGAACGGGUGAGGAAUACAUGGGCAACCUACCCUCGAGUGGGGAAUAACUAGCCGAAAGGUUAGCUAAUACCGCGUACGCUCCUUGGACUUCGGUUCAGGGAGGAAAGCGAUACCGUGGGUAUCGCGCUCUUGGAUGGGCUCAUGUCCUAUCAGCUUGUUGGGAGGUAACGGCUCACCAAGGCUUCGACGGGUAGCUGGUCUGAGAGGACGAUCAGCCACACUGGCACUGCGACACGGGCCAGACUCCUACGGGAGGCAGCAGUAAGGAAUAUUGCGCAAUGGGCGAGAGCCUGACGCAGCGACGCCGCGUGGGGGAUAGAA